CGAACGCGUUGGCCCAAUUGAUUGAUGGUGCUUGCACCUGAUUGAUUUUGGUCGCCAACGAGUGGCGGACGGGUGAGUAACACGUAGGUAACCUGCCCAGAAGCGGGGGACAACAUUUGGAAACAGAUGCUAAUACCGCAUAACAACGUUGUUCGCAUGAACAACGCUUAAAAGAUGGCUUCUCGCUAUCACUUCUGGAUGGACCUGCGGUGCAUUAGCUUGUUGGUGGGGUAAUGGCCUACCAAGGCGAUGAUGCAUAGCCGAGUUGAGAGACUGAUCGGCCACAAUGGGACUGAGACACGGCCCAUACUCCUACGGGAGGCAGCAGUAGGGAAUCUUCCACAAUGGGCGCAAGCCUGAUGGAGCAACACCGCGUGAGUGAAGAAGGGUUUCGGCUCGUAAAGCUCUGUUGUUAAAGAAGAACACGUAUGAGAGUAACUGUUCAUACGUUGACGGUAUUUAACCAGAAAGUCACGGCUAACUACGUGCCAGCAGCCGCGGUAAUACGUAGGUGGCAAGCGUUAUCCGGAUUUAUUGGGCGUAAAGAGAGUGCAGGCGGUUUUCUAAGUCUGAUGUGAAAGCCUUCGGCUUAACCGGAGAAGUGCAUCGGAAACUGGAUAACUUGAGUGCAGAAGAGGGUAGUGGAACUCCAUGUGUAGCGGUGGAAUGCGUAGAUAUAUGGAAGAACACCAGUGGCGAAGGCGGCUACCUGGUCUGCAACUGACGCUGAGACUCGAAAGCAUGGGUAGCGAACAGGAUUAGAUACCCUGGUAGUCCAUGCCGUAAACGAUGAGUGCUAGGUGUUGGAGGGUUUCCGCCCUUCAGUGCCGGAGCUAACGCAUUAAGCACUCCGCCUGGGGAGUACGACCGCAAGGUUGAAACUCAAAGGAAUUGACGGGGGCCCGCACAAGCGGUGGAGCAUGUGGUUUAAUUCGAAGCUACGCGAAGAACCUUACCAGGUCUUGACAUCUUGCGCCAACCCUAGAGAUAGGGCGUUUCCUUCGGGAACGCAAUGACAGGUGGUGCAUGGUCGUCGUCAGCUCGUGUCGUGAGAUGUUGGGUUAAGUCCCGCAACGAGCGCAACCCUUGUUACUAGUUGCCAGCAUUAAGUUGGGCACUCUAGUGAAACUGCCGGUGACAA
This 1141-nucleotide ribosomal RNA is filed under the name Limosilactobacillus fermentum. RNAcentral's name for it is "bacterial SSU rRNA". It matches the Rfam family "Bacterial small subunit ribosomal RNA", at positions 34 to 1161 of the family's 1533-position model. The record is from RNAcentral. Lineage: Bacteria; Bacillati; Bacillota; Bacilli; Lactobacillales; Lactobacillaceae.